RNAcentral lists this small nucleolar RNA (83 nucleotides) under Nicotiana sylvestris (wood tobacco). RNAcentral also lists the same sequence under 1 other name. The record is from RNAcentral. Lineage: Eukaryota; Viridiplantae; Streptophyta; Magnoliopsida; Solanales; Solanaceae.
UGCAGUCAAGGAUGAAUUAUUCCAAAAUUGCUGAUUCACCAGGAUUAGUAUAAAAAUAUCACCAUCUUUCGGCUGAGAUUGCA